CACACAUCUCUAUGGGGAAAUAUACCACAAACAUUUGGUCAAAGCUUGCCCAGGAUCUUCAGAACACAUAUGGAAUCUCACUUAAGAGCUACGUGGAUCUUGCCUGCCCUCAGCUGGAUUUAUGAAGGGAUCAUUGAAAAGUGGUGAAGUUUUACUGUCAUCAGGAUUCCAUUCCACAUUGUAUGUCCAUCUUCCAAAACCAUGAAAGAAUAAGAGUCUGCUUUUAAUUUUUCUGCCUUCCUGCAAAGGCAAGAUGAAGAUCUUUUUCUUUCUGCUUGUGUAAAUUCCAGGAUA
RNAcentral lists this long non-coding RNA (294 nucleotides) under Parus major (Great Tit). Its description in RNAcentral is "lncRNA (ENSPMJG00000015549.1)". Lineage: Eukaryota; Metazoa; Chordata; Aves; Passeriformes; Paridae. The record is from RNAcentral.